Molecule: ribosomal RNA, 468 nt
Filed under: uncultured bacterium
Lineage: Bacteria
Description: partial 16S ribosomal RNA
Rfam family: Bacterial small subunit ribosomal RNA
Source: RNAcentral
GACGAACGCUGGCGGCGUGCUUAACACAUGCAAGUCGAACGGAAAGGCCCUGCUUUUGUGGGGUGCUCGAUUGGCGAACGGGUGAGUAACACGUGAGUAACCCGUCCUUGUCUUUGGGAUAUCUCUAGGAAACUGGGGCUAUUAUCGGAUAGGAGCUCUUGCUCCAUGUGGGUGGUUGGAAAGUUUCGGCGUUUGGGGAUGGUGUGGCGGGUUAUCAGCUGGUUUGUGGGGUAGUGGCUUACCAGGGGUUCGACGGGUAGCCGGCAUGGGAGGGUGACCGGGGACAUUGGGACUGCGGUACGGACCAGACGCGUACGGGAGGCAGCAGUGGAGAGUAUUGCACAAUGAGCGGAAGCGUGAUACAGAGACGCCGCGUGCGGAAUGACGGCCUUCGGGUUGAGAACCAAUGUGGCAUGUAACGAAGCGUGAGUGACGGUAAUGAGUAAAGAAGCAACGGCUAACUACGUG